RNAcentral lists this unclassified non-coding RNA (292 nucleotides) under Hevea brasiliensis (rubber tree). Lineage: Eukaryota; Viridiplantae; Streptophyta; Magnoliopsida; Malpighiales; Euphorbiaceae. The record is from RNAcentral.
GAAAUGUAGGAGCAGUUAGAGGAAGGAAGAUAAGGCCUCACCUAGCCAACCCCAUGAUUUUCUUUGAAGAUUCUUGCAAGUACUAAAAUAGACAAAAGUCAACAUACAACCAAUGUAUUCACACAUAUAAAGUCAAAAUGAAGCUAUGUAAAAGGUACCCCUGUUGGCCACUAAUAUAAAUAAAAGAGCCAAUCCAUGGCUCAAAUGUUUAUCAAAAGCUGUCAAAUAACUGUCAUGCGAAUUUACUAUACUACAUCCCAUAAAAAGUAUUAUCACAAUUCAGAUCUAAAUC